CCCUUAGAUGUUCUGGGCCGCACGCGCGCUACACCGAUGCAUUCAACGAGUCUAAAACCUGCUCUGAUAGGGGUGGGUAAUCUUUUGAAUGUGCAUCGUGAUUGGGAUAGAUGAUUGCAAUUUUUCAUCUUCAACGAGGAAUGCCUAGUAAACGCAAGUCAUCAGCUUGCAUUGAUUACGUCCCUGCCCUUUGUACACACCGCCCGUCGCUCCUACCGAUUGAAUGAUCCGAUGAAUAUCAUGGAUUGAGGAUGCAAGCAGGUUCGCCUGUCUUCAUCUUCGAGAAGUGAAGUAAAUCUUAUCAUUUAGAGGAAGGAGAAGUCGUAACA
RNAcentral lists this ribosomal RNA (329 nucleotides) under uncultured eukaryote. RNAcentral's name for it is "partial 18S ribosomal RNA". It matches the Rfam family "Eukaryotic small subunit ribosomal RNA", at positions 1470 to 1796 of the family's 1831-position model. The record is from RNAcentral.